Molecule: non-coding RNA, 72 nt
Organism: Trichonephila inaurata madagascariensis
Lineage: Eukaryota; Metazoa; Arthropoda; Arachnida; Araneae; Nephilidae
Source: the annotation of a GenBank genome assembly
GGGGGUAUAUAUCAGUGAUAGAGCAUUCGACUGCAGAUUGAGAGGUCUACGGUUCAAACCCGGGUUUCCCCU